RNAcentral lists this unclassified non-coding RNA (403 nucleotides) under soil metagenome. RNAcentral describes it as "partial contains 5.8S ribosomal RNA, internal transcribed spacer 2, and large subunit ribosomal RNA". The stretch from base 1 to 122 matches the Rfam family "5.8S ribosomal RNA", at positions 35 to 154 of the family's 154-position model. The record is from RNAcentral.
GAUGAAGAACGUAGCAAAAUGCGAUACUUGGUGUGAAUUGCAGAAUCCCGUGAACCAUCGAGUUUUUGAACGCAAGUUGCGCCCGAAGCCUUUUGGCCGAGGGCACGUCUGCCUGGGCGUCACGCAUCGCGUCGCCCCCCACAAUUCUCCGUAAAAGGAACAUGUGUUUUGGGGGCGGAUAUUGGUCUCCCGUGCUCAUGGCGUGGUUGGCCGAAAUAGGAGUCCUUUCGAUGGACGCACGAACUAGUGGUGGUCGUAAAAACCCUCGUCUUUUGUUUCGUGCUGUUGCUCGCAAGGUAAACUCUUUAAAAACCCCAAUGUGUCGUCUCUUGACGACGCUUCGACCGCGACCCCAGGUCAGGCGGGACUACCCGCUGAGUUUAAGCAUAUCAAUAAGCGGGGA